CUAUUAUUACUUUAAAUCUGAAGUUGACACUAUGAAAAUAUAAAUAAAAAUUGUGAUUGAUAAUAACGUUCAAAUUCAGAUCUAUAAAUUUAAAUAUAUAAAUUACAAAAGUUAAUCUUGAGUAUUUUUACUUUUACAUUAUGGGACAUGUGUUGACUUUAGUAAUUAUCCUACUAUUUCCAACAAUUUGUAUGGCCAUUAGAUGCGAAACUUGUUUUUUGCGAGGGCGAAGAUAAUACCGUUACUCCAAACUGUGAAGUUUGCACCUACGUAGGAUAUGUGGGACGUGACGGUACUGAACAUGUCAUUGAUAAACUAUGUGAUCAUACAUGUGAUCACAUUCCUUCAAUUUCUGAAAAAGUACGCAGGGAAAAAAAUGGACAUUGUUACGAUUGUUUUACUGACCUUUGCAACCUAAGUGCCCGCCAAAGUAACGUUCCAAAAAUCAACGGUUGUCGUCUUAUUAUCGUUAUUUUCGUACUCAUAUCAUUCUUUUUAUAAAAUGGAAUUGUAUAUGAACAAAAAUUGAACAGUUUAAAUAAAUUUAAUGUUAAAAUUUAAUAAA
Molecule: long non-coding RNA, 565 nt
Organism: Dalotia coriaria
Lineage: Eukaryota; Metazoa; Arthropoda; Insecta; Coleoptera; Staphylinidae
Exons: 3
Source: RefSeq, a predicted model, not a curated record